Long non-coding RNA from Engraulis encrasicolus (European anchovy), 441 nucleotides. RefSeq lists it as uncharacterized. The record is from RefSeq and is a predicted model, not a curated record. NCBI's taxonomy places the organism in Eukaryota, Metazoa, Chordata, Actinopteri, Clupeiformes, Engraulidae. The transcript is spliced from 5 exons.
CAACAGACCAUCUUCAAGAAAGACACAGCCUGGAGUCUGCAGCCACAAAGUCACACAUAUAAAGCAUGCAGAGUGGCAGUGGAGAUGCAUCAGCCCUUACCUGACGUACCACCCAACACCUGUGCCACCUGAGAUGCCCCAGAAGAAAAGCAGCAGAGUGGUGGCAGUGGAGAUGCAUCAGCCCUUACCUGACGUACCACCCAACACCUGUGCCACCUGAUAUGCCCCAGUAUGUUUUUCUCUCCUAUCUACUGGCAAGACCAUCUUCAAGACACAGCCUGGAGCCUGCAGCCACAAAGUUGGGCCCUGACAACAAAACCACACUGAUGAAAAUUCAGCAAGACCACUGGCAGCACCAACUAUCCCCCUGAUUUCAACAAGCGAACCCAACAUAAAUCAAUCUGCUGCUCAACAUAAUAAAUAAAUGUACAUUUUAUUCUA